Molecule: long non-coding RNA, 423 nt
Organism: Pseudoliparis swirei
Lineage: Eukaryota; Metazoa; Chordata; Actinopteri; Perciformes; Liparidae
Exons: 2
Source: RefSeq, a predicted model, not a curated record
GUGUUGGAGGUCUCUCCCCUGGAGAAGCUCUUCCUUCUCUCCAGUGUCGUGACACUCGAUGCUCUGGGCUUGUGGAAAAAGCAUCUGAGCACACAAAGGAUGGACUGCAGAUAGUUUGAGUGAGAAGUCUCAAUACCGUCAGUCCGGACCUUCAGGGAAACACUGACCUGAAGCCACCACGUCCACACAGAGCACCAACAGAGACUGACCACUAGGUGGCGCCAGAACACCAGCUAUGCAGCUCCAGAGCGUUACCAUGAAGACAGGAGCACGUGUGAACUGUGAGAGUUGGAACCAUGUUAAAGCAGCUGGAGAUGUGAGGUCAAAGGACAGGGAUGUGUGUGUGUGCAGAUCGUAAAGCCCUCUGAGGGGAGGUUGUACCUUGUGAUAUUGGGCUGUAUUAAAUAAACUGAGUUGAAUUGG